This 243-nucleotide ribosomal RNA is filed under the name uncultured bacterium. RNAcentral describes it as "partial 16S ribosomal RNA". It matches the Rfam family "Bacterial small subunit ribosomal RNA", at positions 118 to 346 of the family's 1533-position model. The record is from RNAcentral.
UGGGUGACCUGCCCCCUACUCUGGGAUAAGCCUGGGGAAACUGAGUCUAAUACCGGAUAUGACUGCUGGUUGCAUGACUGGUGGUGGAAAGUGUGUUCUUGAUUGGGCACUUCGGUGGGGGAUGGGCCCGCGGCCUAUCAGCUUGUUGGUGGGGUGAUGGCCUACCAAGGCGACGACGGGUAGCCGGCCUGAGAGGGCGACCGGCCACACUGGGACUGAGACACGGCCCAGAUCCUAACGGGG